RNAcentral lists this ribosomal RNA (468 nucleotides) under uncultured bacterium. RNAcentral's name for it is "partial 16S ribosomal RNA". It matches the Rfam family "Bacterial small subunit ribosomal RNA", at positions 28 to 507 of the family's 1533-position model. The record is from RNAcentral.
GACGAACGCUGGCGGCGUGCUUAACACAUGCAAGUCGAACGGAAAGGCCCUGCUUUUGUGGGGUGCUCGAGUGGCGAACGGGUGAGUAACACGUGAGUAACCUGCCCUUGACUUUGGGAUAACUUCAGGAAACUGGGGCUAAUACCGGAUAGGAGCUCCUGCUGCAUGGUGGGGGUUGGAAAGUUUCGGCGGUUGGGGAUGGACUCGCGGCUUGUCAGCUUGUUGGUGGGGUAGUGGCUUACCAAGGCUUUGACGGGUAGCCGGCCUGCGCGGGUGACCGGCCACAUUGGGACUGCGAUACGGCCCAGACUCCUACGGGAGGCAGCAGUGGGGAAUAUUGCACAAUGGGCGGAAGCCUGAUGCAGCAACGCCGCGUGCGGGAUGACGGCCUUCGGGUUGUAAACCGCUUUCGCCUGUGACGAAGCGUGAGUGACGGUAAUGGGUAAAGAAGCACCGGCUAACUACGUG